UCAUUUUUGGAAAAACACUCAAGC
Molecule: non-coding RNA, 24 nt
Filed under: Cricetulus griseus (Chinese hamster)
Lineage: Eukaryota; Metazoa; Chordata; Mammalia; Rodentia; Cricetidae
Source: RNAcentral